CCUACGGGUGGCAGCAGUGGGGAAUAUUGCACAAUGGGGGAAACCCUGAUGCAGCGACGCCGCGUGAGGGAAGAAGUAUUUCGGUAUGUAAAGCUCUAUCAGCAGGGAAGAAAAUGACGGUACCUGACUAAGAAGCACCGUCUAAAUACGUGCCAGCUGCCGCGGUAAUACGUCGGGAGCAAGCGUUAUCCGGAUUUACUGGGCGUUAAGGGAGCGUAGGCGGUUUGCCAAGUGCGAGGUGAAAUCCCGGGGCUCAACCCCGGGGCUGCGUUUGAAACUGUCGGGCUGGAUUGCAGGAGAGGUAGGCGGAAUGCGUGGUGUAGCGGUGAAAUGCGUAGAUAUUAGGAGGAACACCAGUGGCGAAGGCGGCUUACUGGACUGUCACUGACGCUGAGGCUCGAAAGCGUGGGUAGCAAACAGGAUUAGAUACCCGUGUAGUC
This 440-nucleotide ribosomal RNA is filed under the name uncultured bacterium. Its description in RNAcentral is "partial 16S ribosomal RNA". It matches the Rfam family "Bacterial small subunit ribosomal RNA", at positions 338 to 795 of the family's 1533-position model. The record is from RNAcentral.